AGUCGAACGGGAAACCUUUUAUUGAAGCUUCGGCAGAUUUAGCUGGUUUCUAGUGGCGGACGGGUGAGUAACGCGUGGGUAACCUGCCUUAUACAGGGGGAUAACAGUCAGAAAUGACUGCUAAUACCGCAUAAGCGCACAGGGCCGCAUGGCCCGGUGUGAAAAACUCCGGUGGUAUAAGAUGGACCCGCGUUGGAUUAGCUGGUUGGCGGGGUAACGGCCCACCAAGGCGACGAUCCAUAGCCGGCCUGAGAGGGUGAACGGCCACAUUGGGACUGAGACACGGCCCAGACUCCUACGGGAGGCAGCAGUGGGGAAUAUUGCACAAUGGGGGAAACCCUGAUGCAGCGACGCCGCGUGAAGGAAGAAGUAUCUCGGUAUGUAAACUUCUAUCAGCAGGGAAGAUAGUGACGGUACCUGACUAAGAAGCCCCGGCUAACUACGUGCCAGCAGCCGCGGUAAUACGUAGGGGGCAAGCGUUAUCCGGAUUUACUGGGUGUAAAGGGAGCGUAGACGGUGUGGCAAGUCUGAUGUGAAAGGCAUGGGCUCAACCUGUGGACUGCAUUGGAAACUGUCAUACUUGAGUGCCGGAGGGGUAAGCGGAAUUCCUAGUGUAGCGGUG
This 622-nucleotide ribosomal RNA is filed under the name uncultured Lachnospiraceae bacterium. Its description in RNAcentral is "bacterial SSU rRNA". It matches the Rfam family "Bacterial small subunit ribosomal RNA", at positions 60 to 683 of the family's 1533-position model. The record is from RNAcentral. Lineage: Bacteria; Bacillati; Bacillota; Clostridia; Lachnospirales; Lachnospiraceae.